RNAcentral lists this ribosomal RNA (467 nucleotides) under uncultured bacterium. RNAcentral describes it as "partial 16S ribosomal RNA". It matches the Rfam family "Bacterial small subunit ribosomal RNA", at positions 28 to 507 of the family's 1533-position model. The record is from RNAcentral.
GAUGAACGCUGACAGAAUGCUUAACACAUGCAAGUCAACUUGAAUUUGGGUUUUUAACUUAGGUUUGGGUGGCGGACGGGUGAGUAACGCGUAAAGAACUUGCCUCACAGCUAGGGACAACAUUUGGAAACGAAUGCUAAUACCUAAUAUUAUGAUAAUAGGGCAUCCUAUAAUUAUGAAAGCUAUAAGCGCUGUGAGAGAGCUUUGCGUCCCAUUCGCUAGUUGGAGAGGUAACGGCUCACCAAGGCGAUGAUGGGUAGCCGGCCUGAGAGGGUGAUCGGCCACAAGGGGACUGAGACACGGCCCUUACUCCUUCGGGAGGCAGCAGUGGGGAAUAUUGGACAAUGGACCGAGAGUCUGAUCCAGCAAUUCUGUGUGCACGAUGAAGUUUUUCGGAAUGUAAAGUGCUUUCAGUUGGGAAGAAACAAAUGACGGUACCAACAGAAGAAGUGACGGCUAAAUACGUG